UUGUAAUUUGCCAAGCGGGUCAUCGAUCUAGAUCAAAAUGCUGCUGUAUGAGAUUACCUAUUUAUGAGGAAUGAAAAAUGAAUUUUAAGGUUUAGAGAAUGAGUAGGGACUCCGCUGUAGUAAAUUUUUGUCCAUAUUUCUCAAAAUUUUAGCUUAGGACAUGAUAUAGUUUAUCUGCUGGAGAUGCUCUAAGCCAGCCAUUGACGUAAACCGAGCAUGACUCAGAGAGUUUGAAGAAGCAGAGGACUCAACAGUCUUUUCCAACACCAAACCACGUCUAUAAAUAGAAAAACAUGCCAAUAUUCAUUUCAGCAUGCACCUAGCUCUUGCAUUUCAUUUCAUAGAAAAAAAAAGGUUGAAACCAAAUAUGGGUUCCAAAAUGUUGGUAUUACUGGCUCUGUCCAUUGCUUUUGCUCUUCUCAUUAGUUCAGAAGUCACAGCUAGGGAUUUAUCUGAAACUACUCCAAAUUCUGAGGGAGCCAUCAGCGGCAUCUCCGGCAAAAAACCCCUAUAACGUUAAAACCCUCGAAUUGUAUCGAUUGCGCCGAUGGUAGGUGCCUGCCGGUCUGCCCUCAUCAAGAAGCCGCUCAAGUAAAGCCUCAGAACUAGGCCACUUGCCUGUGUAAUAUAUAUACUAAAAGCUCCUCCCUCUAUGCUAGCUGGAUGCUCUUUGGUUCGGCUUAAGAACCCAGCUUUUAUAAGUCAGAAAUAAUUUGUUUGUACCGUUUAUAUAAAGAACUAAUAUAUUAUUAAUGGACGGGUUUAAUCAUCGAAUAUAAGAAAGAAAAAAUGGAUUAUGUACUCAAAAUAAUGUUAGGUAUUUUUAAUUCUGUACUCAAAUUUUUAUUUUUAA
This is a long non-coding RNA of Daucus carota subsp. sativus, 853 nucleotides long. RefSeq lists it as uncharacterized. The transcript is spliced from 2 exons. The record is from RefSeq and is a predicted model, not a curated record. NCBI's taxonomy places the organism in Eukaryota, Viridiplantae, Streptophyta, Magnoliopsida, Apiales, Apiaceae.